UCCUACGGGAGGCAGCAGUGAGGAAUAUUGGUCAAUGGGCGAGAGCCUGAACCAGCCAAGUCGCGUGAAGGAUGACGGCCCUAUGGGUUGUAAACUUCUUUUGCAGGGGAAUAAAGAUAUUCACGUGUGGGUAGUUGUAUGUACCCUGCGAAUAAGCAUCGGCUAACUCCGUGCCAGCAGCCGCGGUAAUACGGAGGAUGCGAGCGUUAUCCGGAUUUAUUGGGUUUAAAGGGUGCGUAGGUGGGCUAUUAAGUCAGUGGUGAAAGUUUGUCGCUCAACGAUAAAAUUGCCGUUGAAACUGGUGGUCUUGAGUAUGGAUGAAGUAGGCGGAAUGCGUGGUGUAGCGGUGAAAUGCAUAGAGAUCACGCAGAACUCCGAUUGCGAAGGCAGCUUACUAAGGCAUAACUGACACUGAAGCACGAAAGCGUGGGUAUCAAACAGGAUUAGAUACCCUGGUAGUCCACGCAGUAAACGAUGAUUACUAGGAGUUUGCGAUAUAGUGUAAGCUCUACAGCGAAAGCGUUAAGUAAUCCACCUGGGGAGUACGCCGGCAACGGUGAAACUCAAAGGAAUUGACGG
RNAcentral lists this ribosomal RNA (579 nucleotides) under uncultured bacterium. RNAcentral describes it as "bacterial SSU rRNA". It matches the Rfam family "Bacterial small subunit ribosomal RNA", at positions 337 to 916 of the family's 1533-position model. The record is from RNAcentral.